AGUAUGAUCAGCUAAUCAAGCUUUCGGGCCCAUACCCCGACAAUGUUGGUCCUUAAACCCUUCCCAUACUA
RNAcentral lists this transfer RNA (71 nucleotides) under Nephrurus vertebralis. RNAcentral describes it as "tRNA-Met". The record is from RNAcentral. Lineage: Eukaryota; Metazoa; Chordata; Lepidosauria; Squamata; Carphodactylidae.